AUUUGAAUCAGCUGUGUAGUGCUAGGGCAAAAAAACAAAACGUGCACCACUUGGGGUCUUGGCUGCCCUGUGCAUACUGCUGCGCCAAACUCUGUUACCGCCGCCCGUACCCACUCCGCCGCAAGCUAUUCCAGGUUGUGAAAACCGGUCUGGCGUACAUGCAAACUUCAGUCCCCUGGCCAGCGGGACCUGAGGAGACGACUCUGCUAUGACCCCACACGCAAUUCAGGAUGUUGACAGAUGGCCUUGGGUUAUGCGUUUGAUUGGAUUGUAACAAUCAACACGUUAUCCCUGUGAAUCACAAGCAGUUGCCAUGGUGCAGGUGAGAGAGGUCAUGGGGCCAUGGGCAGUUCCAGGGUUGGGGUCAUUCUCUUCAGAUUUCGUCGUGUUCUCUCUGCUCUUCCUCCUCCUCUCCAUCAUCCUCGCCCUCUGCACUAACUGUAGAAGGCAUUCCUUUACGCUCCGGGAUGGUGGUGAGGAGGUGGACAGAACCCAGUCACAGCUGGUCAGAGUGGUGAAGCUAGAAGAUGCCCUGGCCGCCAGGGAGAACCCAAUGAUCAAUGACAUCAGAAAAGAUGAGAGUGAUUUCAGUCCCAGACCUGAGGACAGUGUCAUUGGUGUACCGGAUCAGCCUCCUGCUGAGCAGGAUGUCACCUGGUUGAAACCCUGGAGGAGCCACAGGGAGGCACCUGAUCAAGGUGAUUCUCCAAGUGCCUUGCAGAUUGCCAACAGAACCCCCAUGGUCAUGACGAUUAUAUCUCCUUCGCCUCCAGCAACCGUCGACAUUGGUGACCUGAGUGAUGUCCUGAACUUCACACCUGAGCUCCACUUUAUCCCAGCCCCCAUUGUCAUGGUGGAAGUCGACACCCCCCUUGAAUCUUUAUCCCCACCUGUCUAUUCAGAGGACACCCUAGAUGCCACAAUCGUGAGCAGUUUUGAACCUGUUGAUGUCCCCAUUGUGGAGGUCCCCAUCAUGAGCAGCCUUAAACCUGUUGCUGUCCCCAUCCUUGAACCUCUGGUUGUCCCCAUCGUGAGCAUUCUUGAACCUGUGGAAGUCCCCAAUGUGAAUGUCCACAUCGUGAGUAGUUUUGAAUCUGUGGAAGCCCCCAUCGUGGAUCUCCCCAUCAUGGAUGUCACCAUUGUGAACAGCCUUGAACCUCUGCAAGCCCCAAUUGUGGAUGCACCCAUCGUGAGCAGCCUUGAACCUGUUGAACAUGCAGAUGCCACUGUCAUGAAUGACCUUGAUAUCCUGAAUGCUCCAGUUGGCUUAGAGAACCUGGAUGCCCCAGUCAUCAACAGUCUUGACACACUGGUGCUGGACGCUCUUAUUGUAAACAGCCUUGAACCUGUGGACAUCCCUGUCAUCAAUGACCUUGACACUCCAGAUACCCCCAUCAUAAAUAUUCUUGACACCCUGGAGCUGGAUGCUCCCAUCAUAGAUGUCCCCAUUGUGGACAGCCUUGCACCUGUGGAAUUCCCCAUCAUGAAUGACAUUGACCUCCUGGAGAACCCUGCGGAGUUCAGCUCCAGCUUUAACCCUCAGCUUGAAGUAGAGGUUCAUGUGGAGGGUGAGGACCAGAACCAGGGGCUUUGUCUGUGUGUCCAACCUCAGCGUACCUAUGAGAUCAUUGGGGAGCCCAAUCCUGAUGAACCCUCUGGAAGUGGACCUGGCAACCCCAGGCUCUCAAACCAUAGCUGAACUGGUCCAUAACUCCACCACACAUUCUGACGAUGACACAACCACAGUCACCGAGCCAGCGGACCUGGAAAGCCCAGGCUAUGAUACUAUAGCUGAACUGGUCCAGGAUUCGAGUGCAACCACACUGCCUGACGAUGACCCUAUCACAACCACAGUCACAGAGCCAGGGGAUCAGAUAACCCCUGCGUAUGAAACCAUUGCUGAACUGGUCCAUAAAUUGAGCGCAACCACACUGCCUGACGAUGAGCCAAUAAGAACCACAGUCACAGAGCCAGGAGAAGGGCUUGACCUUACAAGCCCUCUCUCAGUGGCAGAGGAGGGUUUCUGUGACGGGGUGGAAUCCAAUGUACGCUAGAGUGAGAAAGAAGCUUAGUAAAAGUACCACCCCACCACCUGUGCUUCCAUCGGAGGACGAGGAACCGGAGGGAUUUUCACCUCCAUUACCAGAGAGAAGUGGAGAGAUGGAGGGAUGAUCAUUGUAGAAUAUCUCAUAAGACUUCAAAUGUGUGUUACGUCAUCAAUUAUAUUUAUAUAGACUCAACUGUGUCAUUUCUGGUGGAACAUGUCUCAGAUGAUGAAGAUAAGGGUUGUACCCAGUACAUAUCUUAUACGAUCUCAUAUGAGACGGGUAUCUCACUGUCCUAUCCUUCAUAUACACUAUUUCCAGUCCUUUCAUUAGCUUUGCAUUGAACUCCGUACAAUGCUAUGCUACAUAUUCCAUAAGGAAGGACCCUAAGCCCAGAGUAGAACUGGGUCACCUAACAUGUUCCAGAGUAGGCUUUAUGUUUGUAUUUACUAACACAUUACAGUGUGAAGUGGCAAUUACACAGUAAUAAAUCAUUGAGUUACAGGUUUCUUUGAGAUUCAUUCAACUUGGUCCACUUAAGAUUCUCUCCCUCUCUAGAAUUACAAACAUUAUACUUUAAUGACAAUAGUGGUGCAUUCUUAAUAAAUAAUGUAUAUCAACAAAUUAAAUGGACAACAUUAUGGGUGUGUCCGAAUACCCAUACUUAAAUAGAAGGCUUUUUGGGUAUGCAAAAAUGUUUUAUAGUAUGUGUCAUUUAGAAAAUGUAGUAUGCUUUAAGUGCAAGGAUGUCAUACUAAUUUUGGCUUUAAAUCAAGUAGAAUUUGCGCAUAGAGAAUGACAGAGGACUCCAGUGGCCAAAAACUUGUUUUAUCAUGGGCAUUGAGGACUUUCACCAUUUUGAAGUAGUUAACUGGAUGGGACUUACUAUGGGUUAAGGAAGGCUAAAAUAAUUCCAUCCAGGUCCAAGGAUAGAUCAGCCAAUGAAUUAUACUUGUGCACAAACAUUACAUAACUGUAGGGGCAGUAAAUCGCCAACCUUGGCUUUAUACCUGUUCAGACAACACACUCCGGAUGGCAGUAUGCAACCUUUCAGUUUGUUUACCAACUGUACUAAAAUGUACUACUUUAAAAUGGAGAUGUCCUCAAUGGUGCUGCCCAUGCUCUUACAGACGCCAUAAUGGGACAGAUACAUUGUUGUGUCCUCUAACUAGCUCUAUGAAUUUGCUGCACACUAUUGAGGAAGAUAAUUGUCUUUUCACACAAGUAUUUGACAACAGCUGAUAAUCAGAAUAGGGGACCCGCUCUACAAAAAUGUAUAAAUAGCAGGGAACAAACGCGUUUGAGCAUUAGAUGAUGCCUUUUCAGUAUGGCUGAGUGGUAUGUUGAUAUUUGUUGCUUACUGCAUACAUUUUUACUAAACAGUACAUUGUAAAUAGUAUGUUGUACUAUUAGUACACAGUAUGUAGUUUUAGUAAAUAGUGGGCAAGUUGGCAUUUCCAUUUAUUUAUUCAAAGCUUUACAGGUGAGGGGUAAAACCAAUCAUUUAGAAUUUACGUACAAUAUAAAACAAAUAUUAAUUCAGUGUUGUAAAAUGUCUAUUGUCAUUAUUAGAACAUAUAGGCUGAGCAGAAUGAAAUACAAGAGGACAGAUGUAAUACACCAUUACAAUACCACAUUGCAAAUCUGUACCUCAUUCAUUCCAACUAUUUAAUUUGAAAUUAAACACAUGUAUCAGAAUUCCAAUUCAAAAUAUUGUUUAAGUGCUUCUGUGUGCAGAUGCAAUUAACUUUUCUCACCACAGUGGGGAAGUACAACUCACUAUCUCUUACUGGAUUUCUCUCUGUCAGUGGAAAGUGAGAUGCCAAAGAAUGUGUCACAUUCAGCCCCUCUAAAUCCUGCUGGAUACUGUCCCCACCCUUCCUCAGAAGGGUGGGAACACCGCAAGAACUAUGGUCAGGAAAUUAAACUUAAAUACACAUCCCUAGCACAUACCUUUUAAAAGUAGGCAUUGAGAGAAAAACAUGCCUUUCGCUCAACUAUUAUAGCAUGCCCAUAAGCCUUGUUGAAAUAAGUGGUCUUUGAGCUGUUUUACUCUAGACUGGGAAAUCGGAAUAAACAAGCUCCGACUGGGAAAAUACAUUUUGAACGGUCAUCCAACUCAGAAUAGUAAAUCCGGCCUCUUUCUAGAGCUACGACUUGAAGAUCAAUGACGUCAUCAUGAUUCGGCCUUGUUUGUUUCCGAGUUCCCAGUUGUUUUGAAAACACCAUAAAUCCAGAGAAUGCCAGACUUUGAAAUUCGCAACAUUAAGACUACAAAACUACAAGGACAUUGCUCAAUGCCAAAUGUUUUGUAAGACCGAAUUGUUUCUGCAGCAAUUUUGUGGGCUGACACGAUGUUGAAUCCCACAUUGGAAUAGACCACUGGAUGAUUCUGUCUAUUACCCAUUGACAGACAUAUCCAUGGAGAUAAUUAAUAGUUUAUUAGAUUGGUUGGUGUCUGUAGCCCUGCAUGGUGCUGCAAAUGCAGUAUUUAAUUUAUUUAUAUAUACAGUACCAGUCAAAAGUUUGCACACACCUACUCAUUCAAGGGUUUUUCUUCUCUAAAUUGUAGAAUAAUAGUGAAAACAUCAAAACUAUGAAAUAACACAUGGAAUCUUGUAGUAACCAAAAAAGUGUUAAAAUAUAUUUUGAUUUGUUUAUAUUUGAGAUUCUUCAAAGUAGCCACCCUUUGCCUUGAUGACAGCUUUGCACACUCUUGGCAUUCUCUCAACCAGCUUCAUGAGGUAGUCACCUGGAAUGCAUUUCAAUUAACAGGUGUGCCUUGUUAAAAGUUAAUUUGUGGAAUUUCUUUCCUUCUUAAUGCGUUUGAGCCAAUCAGCUGUGUUAGCCCUAUUUGAUAAAAGACCAAGUACAUAUUAUGGUAAGAACAGCUCAAAUAAGCAAAGAGAAAUGACAGUCCAUUAUUACUUUAAGACAUGAAGGUCAGUCAAUCCGGGAAAUGUCAACAACUUUCUUCAAGUGCAGUCACAAAAACCAUCAAGCGCUUUGAUGAAACAGGCUUUCAUGAGGACCGCCACAGGAAAGGAAGACCCAGUUACCUAUUCUGCAGAGGGUAGGUUCAUUAGAGUUAACUGCACCUCAGAUUUCAGCCCAAAUAAAGUAACAGACACAUCUCAACAUCAACUGUUAAGAGGAAACUGAGUGAAUCUGGCCUUCCUGGUCUAAUUGCUGCAAAGAAACCACUACUAAAGGACACCAAUAACAAGAAGAGACUUGCUUGGGCCAAGAAACAUGAGCAAUGCAUAUUAGAAUGGUGGAAAUCUGUCCUUUGGUCUGAUGAGUCCAAAUGUGAUUUUUUUUGUUUCCAACUGCCGUGUCUUUGUGAGAUGUGGAGUAGGUAAACGGAUGAUCUCCGCAUGUGUGGUUCCCAUCGUGAAGCAUGGACGAGGAGGUGUGAUGGUGUGGAGGUGCUUUGCUAGUGACUGUAUGUGAUUUAUUUAGAAUUCAAGGCACACAACCAUCAUGGCUACCGCAGCAUUCUGCAGCAAUACGCCAUCCCAUCUGGUUUGCGCUUAGUGGGACUAUCAUUUGUUUAUCAACAGGACAAUGACCCAAAACACACCUCCAGGCUGUGUAAGGGCUAUUUGACCAAGAAGGAGAGUGAUAGAGUGCUGCACAUUUUUACUACAUGAUUCCAUAUGUGUUAUUUCAUAGUUUUGAUGUCUUCACUAUUAUUCUACAAUGUAUAAAAUAGUACAAUUAAAGAAAAACCUUUGAAUGAUUAGGUGUGUCCAAACCUUUGACUGGUACAGUGUGUGUGUAUAUAUAUAUAUAUAUAAAUCUGCGUCAAUAUGGCACUAAUCAAGAGCUUAAAGUUCCUCUGUGCCCACAUCACUAAAGAAUUAAUUAACAUGGUUCACACACACCAACAGUCGUGGAGAAGGCACGACAAUGCCUCUUCGAUCUCAGGAGGCUGAAAAUAUUUGGCAUGGGCCCUCAGAUCCUCUAAAAGUCCCACAGCUACACCAUUGAGAGCAUCUUGAUUGGCUGCAUCACCACUUGGUAUGGCAACUGUUUGGCAUCUGACCGCAAGGCGCUACAGAGAGCAAUGCGUACGACCCAGUACAUCACUGAGGCCGAGCUCCCUGCCAUUCAGGACCUCUAUACCAGGCGGUGUCAAAGGAAGGCCCUAAAAAUUGUCAAAGACUCCAGACACCCAUGUCAUAGGCUGUUCUCCCUGCUACCGCACAGCAAGCGGUACAGAUGCACCAAGUCUGUAACCAACAGUACCCUGAACAGCUUCUACCUCCAAGCCAUAGGACUGAUAAUUAGUUAACCAAAUAGCUACCCGGACUAUCUUCAUUCACCCUUUUUGCUCUUUUGACUCAUCACAUACGCUGCUGCUACUGUUUAUUAUUUAUCCUUUUGCCUAUAGUCACUUUACCCCUACCCAGUGUUGUAGUACUCAAGACCAGAUAUUGAGUCUCUUCGUCUAAUCUCUGUGUCUGAUACUUAUUUAUUCGGUCUUGACUUGGUCUCGGACAAUGAGGACUUGUAAUUUCUUCCUGAGACCAGACGAGACCAGUAGAGUAAAACCUUCAGAAUUUCGGCUCCCAUUCAGUCAGCGCAUAAAGCCGCUUUGCCAGGCCAAAUAUCCACACCCCUUUUAUGACAAUAUCUUAUCACCUAUCGAAACCAGGGCUUCCUACUUUACUCGUAACAUUACUGUCCUUAACUUUUGUUGAAAAAUAUCCUCAAACUUUGUCGCGCUCGUCAGAACUUCCUUAAUUCGCUGGUAGGGAAGAGUGGGGGGAAUGAUUUAAAGUUGUGUCCUCACUAUUAGUAAGGGGAGACCGGAGGAAGUUGUAUUUUUAUCUAUUAUAGAUCUGUUUGGGUUAGUGAUGAUUUGUAGAGUGGCUCCCUAUUUGCACUCAGCAGGCAUUUUUUCACCAUUCUGAAUGUCUAAAGCAGCCUUUCUUAAAGUAUGGGUUGCAGUUGUUUUUUUUUAUUAGUAGGGAGUCAGGGUCUCAAAUUACUGUUGAGAGUUAGAAAAUAUGCCAUUUAGCAGAAGCCUUUAUCCAAAGUGACUCACAGUCAUGGGUGCAUACAUUUUAUCUAUGGGUGGUCCUGGGAAUUGAACUGCCUACCCUUACAAGCCCCAUGCUCUACCAACUGAGCUACAAAGGACCACACAUUUCAUGUAGAAUAGUAGAAUACACAAGGUGAAAUUUUGAAAUUUGGUUGUGCAUCAGCAGCUUUUCUCUUUUUAUGUUUGUCACUCAAUUAGCCAUCUCAGCUAACAAUUUUUAGAUUGGUAAGUUAGUCUAGCCAGCUAUCUAAACUUGUAGCUUUCAUGGACGAAUACCGACCGGACAAGCAGGGCAUGUGCCCAUGGGCCCUGACCUACUGGGGGCCCACAUUGAUUUUGUUAGUCACUCUCACUCAGAUAUUAUAUUAACAAGGCAUAAGUCAUGGCCCAAUGUGUAGAAUUGCAGGAAAUUAGCUUUAAAAAUGCAAUUUUCUUAUCUCUGCCACAUGGCAAAAUGAGUAGAAUUGCAUGAAAUGUUUUAUAAAAUUUCUAAAUGCUUUCUCCCUCUCAUGGCAAAAUGUUCAGACGUGCAGAACACGUGCUUUAACACUGCAGCAUUUUCUCUCCCAAUUGCCGAAUGUGUAGAAUUGCUGGAAAUUAACUUUAAAACUUUUUUCUCUAUGCAGUCAAGAGAAGGGCCACUAAAAAUGUUUGCCCGUGAGGUGGGGUGCCCGCCCCAAACAAAUCUCACUUAGGAUCUCGAAAAGGGGGCAUGUUUUCAUAAGUUUGGGUCCCAGGAAAACACAGCAUUUCUCAUUUCGGUCCCAGGCUGAAAAAGUUUACGAAUCCCUGUUCUAAAGAAUCCAUAUGUUCUUCUGAAAUAGGAACACAGAAUUACUGGACAUUUUUAACUUGUAUUAUGGUGCCGAUUUUACACAAUUACAAUCAUGGUCUUGAAUUGUACUGUCAUUUUUCUGGUCUCGGUCUUGACUCAGUCUCGAAUAAAACACUGACCCUACCUAUAUGAACUGUACAUAUCUACCUCAAUUACCUCGUACCCCUGCACAUCGACUCAGUACUGGUACCCCAUGUAUGUAGCCAAGUUAUCAUCACUCACUGUGUAUUUAUUCCUUGUGUUAAAUAUAUAUAUUUUUUUUCUCGAUUUUUCUCUCUGCAUUGCUGUUUUUAUGAAACAUGUGAAAAAUAAAAUUUGAUUUGAUCAAUAGUGGACAUGCAUAAAAGAGUUUGCUAUAUUGUAUAAUGGUCUCUAUUACUCUUUUUUUGUAUCUGCUUUAGCACAGUAAACUUGAUCCCGAUUGUAGCUCCAAGAUGGCGGCAAUUGGAAAAAACUAAAAAGUAGAUUGUGCUGAUUUAGUGGCACAUUGAACCAUGUCACAUAUCCUAGUUUAAAGUAACUAUCCUGUGGAAAUCUCACUUUUAAAAGUUAAUAUUCUCUUAACUCAAAUAAUGUUGUUCACUCAUUCUAUACUCUUAUUUUUGGCCAAAGCAUAAAUUGGGAAAAAAACCACCUCAAACAGACCGUUUACAUUUAUUUUGUUGCUAUUUCCUCAUAGAGGAAGAUGUCAGCUGGGCAAUCAGCAGUCUACUCGCCUUAACAUUUUUAAUGAAUGGUAUACGCCCACACCAUUCUGUUGUUGGAGUACGCCAACACCAUUCCAACACAGAAAAACUGCUUUUUAACAUACUUAAUUGCCAGUUUUUUUAAGGAAAAUUAUUAAAUUCCUAUUGUAGUUAAUUAUAGGUCCUAUUUCAUAUACAUUUGGAAAUACUGGCCAGUUACUUAAUCUGUGGGUAGUGCUAAAACAAUGGCAUCAUAUCUGAAUUCCUCCAUCAUUAUGCACAUCCACCAUUCAUUCAUUCAAAAAACAAAUAUUUGGUUAAAAAGUUAUCCUGCUAUUUUAGUCUCUCCUGUGAGGUCAACUAAACUCUCUCUCUAUGGUCUCCAUCAGGUCCACUUCUGAUCCAUCGUACAGAAUAACAGGCAUGGAGAGAGAGGGGCCAUUGCCAUCGUCCAGGACUCUGG
This 9079-nucleotide long non-coding RNA is filed under the name Salmo salar (Atlantic salmon). RNAcentral's name for it is "lncRNA (ENSSSAG00000121838.1)". Lineage: Eukaryota; Metazoa; Chordata; Actinopteri; Salmoniformes; Salmonidae. The record is from RNAcentral.